CCGCGAGAUCAUGACCUGAGCCGAAGUCGGACGCUCAACCGACUGAGCCCCCCAGGCGCCCCGAGAACGUUGCUUAUCUUUAGAGAGUUUCAUUUGCUCACAGUGCACACCAGAACUGAUCCUGUUUUUCGUGAUGUGAAAAGAGGCUUACUUCGAAAGCUCUCAGUUCUCUCACUGUUCAGAAACAUUGUUCUCAAGGUGACAGCUUCCAAAGGGCGUAUUUCAACUCAUUCAUCCAGCAUUCAAGCUCUCUUCCUCAUCCCAGCUCCAAAUUGCAGUCUUUUUGGAGGAAACCCCAUGAGAGCCCGGAAGAAAAGGUUCCUCUGCAGGACAGGUUGAAAUGCUAAAUGGAGACAGAGCUGAUGUGAGCAGGAUAAGUUAACAAUGGCGCCCACAGAAGUUGGUCAGAAAAGCAAGAUGGAGUCACCAUGAUACCACAGAGAAAGGAGAUCCCGCCUUCUUCCCAUUGACACGGGGAGAACAACCAAGCAGGCCCGACUUUUGAGAAACGCCGGUCAAUUUCUAUUUGCGAACCAUGAUUACACAUCCAUUUCCUGCACUAUCCUGGUUCCAUGACAUUUCCAUGACCCAGACGAUUACCGGAACCCAAUGAGAUGCCUCUCACCACCUACUCACAGACUUAGUCAUCCUGCAUGAAACCCUGACGCAUAUCGACCUACGGACUCUGAUUGCCAAAAUCAUAUGUAACAU
Non-coding RNA from Puma concolor (puma), 711 nucleotides. NCBI's taxonomy places the organism in Eukaryota, Metazoa, Chordata, Mammalia, Carnivora, Felidae. The record is from RefSeq and is a predicted model, not a curated record.